CUGACACCGCCGCAAGCAGACUAAGCUAAUUUUUAUUUAAUUCGUGUUAUUUCGUGCUGUAAAUUCGAUAUUUUUCUCCCCCAAGGCAGAAAAAGAUCACUUGCUUGCAAGCCGGAUUAUAUUUAAUAAUUUUAGAGACAAUAUAAGAGCACAUUAAAAUUCACCACAAUCCACCCCUCUCCUGUUAACGAGGGACAGAUACCACAACAAACUAUA
Pelobates cultripes (western spadefoot toad) is the source of this 216-nucleotide non-coding RNA. The record is from the annotation of a GenBank genome assembly. Lineage: Eukaryota; Metazoa; Chordata; Amphibia; Anura; Pelobatidae.